Molecule: ribosomal RNA, 440 nt
Filed under: uncultured bacterium
Lineage: Bacteria
Description: partial 16S ribosomal RNA
Rfam family: Bacterial small subunit ribosomal RNA
Source: RNAcentral
CCUACGGGUGGCAGCAGUAGGGAAUAUUGCUCAAUGGGGGAAACCCUGAAGCAGCAACGCCGCGUGGAGGAUGAAGGUUUUCGGAUUGUAAACUCCUUUUGUUAGAGAAGAUAAUGACGGUAUCUAACGAAUAAGCACCGGCUAACUCCGUGCCAGCAGCCGCGGUAAUACGGAGGGUGCAAGCGUUAUUCGGAAUCACUGGGUGUAAAGAGCGCGUAGGCGGGAGAGCAAGUCAGAAGUGAAAUCCUAUGGCUUAACCAUAGAACUGCAUUUGAAACUGUUAUUCUAGAGUAUAGGAGAGGUAAGUGGAAUUCUUGGUGUAGGGGUAAAAUCCGUAGAGAUUAAGAGGAAUACUCGUUGCGAAGGCGGCCUACUGGGCUUUUACUGACGUUGAGGCUCGAAAGUGUGGGGAGCAAACAGGAUUAGAUACCCUUGUAGUC